Molecule: ribosomal RNA, 253 nt
Filed under: uncultured bacterium
Lineage: Bacteria
Description: partial 16S ribosomal RNA
Rfam family: Bacterial small subunit ribosomal RNA
Source: RNAcentral
UACGUAGGGUGCAAGCGUUGUCCGGAAUUAUUGGGCGUAAAGAGCUCGUAGGCGGUUUGUCGCGUCGAAUGUGAAAACCCGGGGCUCAACCCCGGGCCUGCAUUCGAUACGGGCAGACUAGAGUUCGGUAGGGGAGUCUGGAAUUCCUGGUGUAGCGGUGGAAUGCGCAGAUAUCAGGAGGAACACCGAUGGCGAAGGCACUUUACUGGGCUAUUACUAACACUCAGAGACGAAAGCUAGGGUAGCAAAUGGG